This 1580-nucleotide ribosomal RNA is filed under the name Escherichia coli. RNAcentral describes it as "partial 23S ribosomal RNA". It matches the Rfam family "Bacterial large subunit ribosomal RNA", at positions 766 to 2531 of the family's 2925-position model. Lineage: Bacteria; Pseudomonadati; Pseudomonadota; Gammaproteobacteria; Enterobacterales; Enterobacteriaceae. The record is from RNAcentral.
CUGGAGGACCGAACCGACUAAUGUUGAAAAAUUAGCGGAUGACUUGUGGCUGGGGGUGAAAGGCCAAUCAAACCGGGAGAUAGCUGGUUCUCCCCGAAAGCUAUUUAGGUAGCGCCUCGUGAAUUCAUCUUCGGGGGUAGAGCACUGUUUCGGCUAGGGGGUCAUCCCGACUUACCAACCCGAUGCAAACUACGAAUACCGAAGAAUGUUAUCACGGGAGACACACGGCGGGUGCUAACGUCCGUCGUGAAGAGGGAAACAACCCAGACCGCCAGCUAAGGUCCCAAAGUCAUGGUUAAGUGGGAAACGAUGUGGGAAGGCACAGACAGCCAGGAUGUUGGCUUAGAAGCAGCCAUCAUUUAAAGAAAGCGUAAUAGCUCACUGGUCGAGUCGGCCUGCGCGGAAGAUGUAACGGGGCUAAACCAUGCACCGAAGCUGCGGCAGCGACACUAUGUGUUGUUGGGUAGGGGAGCGUUCUGUAAGCCUGCGAAGGUGUGCUGUGAGGCAUGCUGGAGGUAUCAGAAGUGCGAAUGCUGACAUAAGUAACGAUAAAGCGGGUGAAAAGCCCGCUCGCCGGAAGACCAAGGGUUCCUGUCCAACGUUAAUCGGGGCAGGGUGAGUACAAAUGCCCUGCUUCCAGGAAAAGCCUCUAAGCAUCAGGUAACAUCAAAUCGUACCCCAAACCGACACAGGUGGUCAGGUAGAGAAUACCAAGGCGCUUGAGAGAACUCGGGUGAAGGAACUAGGCAAAAUGGUGCCGUAACUUCGGGAGAAGGCACGCUGAUAUGUAGGUGAAGCGACUUGCUCGUGGAGCUGAAAUCAGUCGAAGAUACCAGCUGGCUGCAACUGUUUAUUAAAAACACAGCACUGUGCAAACACGAAAGUGGACGUAUACGGUGUGACGCCUGCCCGGUGCCGGAAGGUUAAUUGAUGGGGUUAUCCGUAAGGAGAAGCUCUUGAUCGAAGCCCCGGUAAACGGCGGCCGUAACUAUAACGGUCCUAAGGUAGCGAAAUUCCUUGUCGGGUAAGUUCCGACCUGCACGAAUGGCGUAAUGAUGGCCAGGCUGUCUCCACCCGAGACUCAGUGAAAUUGAACUCGCUGUGAAGAUGCAGUGUACCCGCGGCAAGACGGAAAGACCCCGUGAACCUUUACUAUAGCUUGACACUGAACAUUGAGCCUUGAUGUGUAGGAUAGGUGGGAGGCUUUGAAGUGUGGACGCCAGUCUGCAUGGAGCCGACCUUGAAAUACCACCCUUUAAUGUUUGAUGUUCUAACGUGGGCCCCUUACCGGGGUUGCGGACAGUGUCUGGUGGGUAGUUUGACUGGGGCGGUCUCCUCCUAAAGAGUAACGGAGGAGCACGAAGGUUGGCUAAUCCUGGUCGGACAUCAGGAGGUUAGUGCAAUGGCAUAAGCCAGCUUGACUGCGAGCGUGACGGCGCGAGCAGGUGCGAAAGCAGGUCAUAGUGAUCCGGUGGUUCUGAAUGGAAGGGCCAUCGCUCAACGGAUAAAAGGUACUCCGGGGAUAACAGGCUGAUACCGCCCAAGAGUUCAUAUCGACGGCGGUGUUUGGCACCUCGAUG